This 253-nucleotide ribosomal RNA is filed under the name uncultured organism. Its description in RNAcentral is "partial 16S ribosomal RNA". It matches the Rfam family "Bacterial small subunit ribosomal RNA", at positions 524 to 776 of the family's 1533-position model. The record is from RNAcentral.
UACAGAGGCCCCAAGCGUUAGGCGGAAUCACUGGGCUUAAAGCGUGUGUAGGCGGGUUGGUAAGUACUUUGUGAAAUCCCACGGCUUAACUGUGGAAUUGCUUAGUAUACUGCCGAUCUUGAGUCAUUUAGGGGCAGCCGGAACAGAUGGUGGAGCGGUGAAAUGCGUAGAUAUCCGGAGGAACACCGGUGGCGAAGGCGGCUUCCUGGACCGACACUGACGCUGAGGCGCGAAAGCUAGGGGAGCAAUCGGG